RNAcentral lists this ribosomal RNA (914 nucleotides) under Davidhawksworthia ilicicola. RNAcentral's name for it is "eukaryotic LSU rRNA". It matches the Rfam family "Eukaryotic large subunit ribosomal RNA", at positions 34 to 965 of the family's 3401-position model. Lineage: Eukaryota; Fungi; Ascomycota; Leotiomycetes; Helotiales; Dermateaceae. The record is from RNAcentral.
UUAAGCAUAUCAAUAAGCGGAGGAAAAGAAACCAACAGGGAUUACCUCAGUAACGGCGAGUGAAGCGGUAACAGCUCAAAUUUGAAAUCUGGGUCUUUCAGGCUCCGAGUUGUAAUUUGUAGAAGAUGCUUCGGGUGCGGCUCCGGUCUAAGUUCCUUGGAACAGGACGUCAUAGAGGGUGAGAAUCCCGUAUGUGAUCGGUUGCUUGCGCCCAUGUGAAGCUCUUUCGACGAGUCGAGUUGUUUGGGAAUGCAGCUCAAAAUGGGUGGUAAAUUUCAUCUAAAGCUAAAUAUUGGCCAGAGACCGAUAGCGCACAAGUAGAGUGAUCGAAAGAUGAAAAGCACUUUGGAAAGAGAGUUAAACAGUACGUGAAAUUGUUGAAAGGGAAGCGCUUGCAACCAGACUUGCACGUUGUCGAUCAUCCGGUGUUCUCACCGGUGCACUCGAUCUCGUUCAGGCCAGCAUCGGUUUUGGUGGUUGGAUAAAGGCCUUGGGAAUGUGGCUCCUCUCGGGGAGUGUUAUAGCCCUCGGUGCAAUGCAGCCUACCGGGACCGAGGACCGCGCUUCGGCUAGGAUGCUGGCGUAAUGGUUGUAAGCGACCCGUCUUGAAACACGGACCAAGGAGUCUAACAUCUAUGCGAGUGUUUGGGUGUCAAACCCAUACGCGUAAUGAAAGUGAACGGAGGUGAGAACCCUUAAGGGUGCAUCAUCGACCGAUCCUGAUGUCUUCGGAUGGAUUUGAGUAAGAGCAUAGCUGUUGGGACCCGAAAGAUGGUGAACUAUGCCUGAAUAGGGUGAAGCCAGAGGAAACUCUGGUGGAGGCUCGCAGCGGUUCUGACGUGCAAAUCGAUCGUCAAAUUUGGGUAUAGGGGCGAAAGACUAAUCGAACCAUCUAGUAGCUGGUUCCUGCCGAA